AGGUAGAAAGUGCUUGGAAGAACGAUAGGAAUGUAGGAGGAAAAGGAAUAGGUACUAAUUCUGGAAGUUUAUACGGACGACGGGCGCCGAGUUGGGGAAAGGAUGAACAUACGUAGAUAAACAAUUUGUACUCUCCUGAAUUAUGGAUCGCAAGAAUUUUCCCGCUAUACGAGCUCCAGGAACUAUAAUAUAUCCGGCUCGAAAGGCCAAGUGAUGUGGUGGGCAGGUUUCCUGGUGAUCCAAUGAGUACGUACUUUCGAUCUAUUGUCGCGUGUGCCUAUGCAUUGUAUGUUGGGGAUGUGUUUUCAUACACCUAUUUGGCGCAGUCGAUAUUUAAUGCACUAGAAGUUAUGUUUUAUAAGAAUGCCCACAA
Drosophila persimilis is the source of this 373-nucleotide long non-coding RNA. RefSeq lists it as uncharacterized. NCBI's taxonomy places the organism in Eukaryota, Metazoa, Arthropoda, Insecta, Diptera, Drosophilidae. The record is from RefSeq and is a predicted model, not a curated record. The transcript is spliced from 3 exons.